AGGCGACGAUCAGUAGCCGGCUUGAGAGAGUGAACGGCCACAUUGGGACUGAGACAUGGCCCAAACUCCUACGGGAGGCAGCAGUGGGGAAUAUUGCACAAUGGGGGGAACCCUGAUGCAGCGACGCCGCGUGAGUGAAGAAGUAUUUCGGUAUGUAAAGCUCUAUCAGCAGGGAAGAAAAUGACGGUACCUGACUAAGAAGCCCCGGCUAACUACGUGCCAGCAGCCGCGGUAAUACGUAGGGGGCAAGCGUUAUCCGGAAUUACUGGGUGUAAAGGGUGCGUAGGUGGUAUGGCAAGUCAGAAGUGAAGACCCAGGGCUUAACUCUGGGACUGCUUUUGAAACUGUCAGACUGGAGUGCAGGAGAGGUAAGCGGAAUUCCUAGUGUAGCGGUGAAAUGCGUAGAUAUUAGGAGGAACAUCAGUGGCGAAGGCGGCUUACUGGACUGAAACUGACACUGAGGCACGAAAGCGUGGGUAGCAAACAGGAUUAGAUACCCUGGUAGUCCACACCGUAAACGAUGAUUACUAGGUGUUGGAGGAUUGACCCCUUCAGUGCCGCAGUUAACACAAUAAGUAAUCCACCUGGGGAGUACGACCGCAAGGUUGAAACUCAAAGGAAUUGACGGGGGCCCGCACAAGCAGUGGAGUAUGUGGUUUAAUUCGACGCAACGCGAAGAACCUUACCAAGUCUUGACAUCCUGCGACGAUGCUAGAAAUAGUAUUUUCCUUCGGGACGCAGAGACAGGUGGUGCAUGGUUGUCGUCAGCUCGUGUCGUGAGAUGUUGGGUUAAGUCCCGCAACGAGCGCAACCCUUAUGGUCAGUUACUACGCAAGAGGACUCUGGCCAGACUGCCGUUGACAAAACGGAGGAAGGUGGGGAUGACGUCAAAUCAUCAUGCUCUUUAUGACUUGGGCUACACACGUACUACAAUGGCGUUAAACAAAGAGAAGCAAGACCGCGAGGUGGAGCAAAACUCAGAAACAACGUCCCAGUUCGGACUGCAGGCUGCAACUCGCCUGCACGAAGUCGGAAUUGCUAGUAAUCGUGGAUCAGCAUGCCACGGUGAAUACGUUCCCGGGCCUUGUACACACCGCCCGUCACACCAUGAGAGCCGGGGGGACCCGAAGUCGGUAGUCUAACCGCAAGGAGGACGCCGCCGAAGGUAAAACUGGUGAUUGGGGUGAAGUCGUAACAAGGUA
This 1202-nucleotide ribosomal RNA is filed under the name metagenome. RNAcentral describes it as "bacterial SSU rRNA". It matches the Rfam family "Bacterial small subunit ribosomal RNA", at positions 271 to 1498 of the family's 1533-position model. The record is from RNAcentral.